AGAGACAGCAGCAGCCACGGGAAUACGUAGGUGGCGAGCGUUGUCCGGAAUUAUUGGGCGUAAAGGGAGCGCAGGCGGACAUAUAAGUCCAUCUUAAAAGUGCGGGGCUCAACCCCGUGAGGGGAUGGAAACUGUAUGCCUUGAGUGUAGGAGAGGAAAGCGGAAUUCCUAGUGUAGCGGUGAAAUGCGUAGAUAUUGGGAGGAACACCGGCGGCGAAGGCGGCUUACUGGACGACAACUGACGUUGAGGCUCGAAGGCGUGGGUAGCAAACAGGAUUAGAUACCCGCGUAGUCCCUGUCUCUUAUACA
RNAcentral lists this ribosomal RNA (309 nucleotides) under uncultured bacterium. RNAcentral's name for it is "partial 16S ribosomal RNA". It matches the Rfam family "Bacterial small subunit ribosomal RNA", at positions 504 to 808 of the family's 1533-position model. The record is from RNAcentral.